AGGCUUUGAUCCUGGCUCAGGACGAACGCUGGCGGCGUGCUUAAUACAUGCAAGUCAACGAGAACCGGAGUACUUGUAUUCCGGGGGCAGUGGCGCACGGGUGAGUAACACGUAGGUAAUCUGCCUUUAGGUCUGACAUAACUCGUCGAAAGACGGGCUAAUAUCAGAUAAUGCAGCGGGGCCACAUGGUCACAGUUGUUAAACCCUUCGGGGCCUAAAGAUGAGCCUGCGUCCCAUUAGGUAGUUGGUAAGGUAAUGGCUUACCAAGCCGACGAUGGGUAGCUGGUCUGAGAGGAUGAUCAGCCACACUGGAACUGAGACACGGUCCAGACUCCUACGGGAGGCAGCAGUAAGGAAUAUUGGUCAAUGGGAGAAAUCCUGAACCAGCAACGCCGCGUGAGGGAUGAAGGGCUUUUGCUCGUAAACCUCUUUUUUAUGGGAAAAACAUACGAUUAUUUCGUGUUGAUUGUACCUUAAGGCAUAGCUCCGCUACUAGCUGGCCC
This 503-nucleotide ribosomal RNA is filed under the name uncultured bacterium. Its description in RNAcentral is "bacterial SSU rRNA". It matches the Rfam family "Bacterial small subunit ribosomal RNA", at positions 8 to 510 of the family's 1533-position model. The record is from RNAcentral.